Triticum dicoccoides is the source of this 3048-nucleotide long non-coding RNA. RefSeq lists it as uncharacterized. The transcript is spliced from 9 exons. The record is from RefSeq and is a predicted model, not a curated record. Lineage: Eukaryota; Viridiplantae; Streptophyta; Magnoliopsida; Poales; Poaceae.
GCGCGGUGAAUCUCGCCGCCGAGGCCCACAAGGCGAGGCGCUCUAAUCCUCUCCUUCUCCUCUAGUCUUAUCCAUUCCUCUCCUCCUUCUUCUUUCCCCUCUCAGAUCCAGCAGGGACUAGAACCUUACUGGAAGCCACGAAAGCCGCCACCGGCUGAACCUUGUCCACGAACAACUCUUUUCCUACCGAUCUGCCAAACGAUUCUUCUUCCAUCGGUCAACAUCGUCUACCUCACCAGAUACUGUCAGCUUAAUGGACGAUGAUGAUUUCAUAGUCAAGGGCCUUCCACAGCUCUGCCAUCCGUGUUACCAUUAGCAGAAGAUAUAUGCUUGAACAAGCUAUCAAGCAGAUCCGUGGUACAAUUCAUGCAUUCAGUCUUACAUACGAUGAUGACGGCACAGUAGUAGCAUCAGUGAAAAUCGAUCUUCACCCCACAGCAAAAGCAUUUUCCCAACCCAACAGUUGUUCUUUGGGGAGCCAACUCAGAUUUCUGACGAUUCUAUUGAAUCAGCAUGUUCUGCUGCUUUGACCUAUCUGUUGACCAUGGGGAUAAUUAUAAUAGAUGAUUACAACUCAGUGGAUCUCAAGAACUGCCAGACACAACUUAAAGCAGAGCAGUUUUGGUCGUCAAUGCUAUAUGAUCGUGCAGAAUCCUUUCAGAAUCAACUCGGCUCCUUGACCACAGCAAAAAAAGAACUUAUUCGGAGAGUGGCAAUAAUAGUACCCCUGCGCCUAAACAUGCCGAUGAAUCAGACAAUGGCCUCAACGACGCUUCUGGUUCACUACCAGCAAACAAAGAAGCAUCAAACAGCGGAACAGAUUACAACUCCACGAAAAAAGCAAAGUCUCACCCUAUUGCCCGCAGGACUUUACUCUUUAAAGAAUAAAUGACAAGAUCAUAUGGUACAUGGACAAGGUUGGCACCACUCAAAGGCAGGAAUAUGUGGCCGUCUUGAAGGAGUUUUACUCUCUGUCUAUGCAUCCAAUGUUAAUCAUGUCUUUCCAUGCUACCAAUCGCAAGCCUCCUUUAUUUUGUUUGUUUAGAAGAUGUUUCAUUAAGUAAGGAUUUGGUCACAGUGGAUCCGUACUAUUAUGGGCUAUUCACGCACUUUAUAAUUUAAAUUUCGAGAUCAAUGAAGUAAACACUCAGUUUGAGUGAUGGUGUUACAUAUUCUUCGUUGAUACUAUACCAUCUAUUACUAGCUCUUCUCUAAUAAUACUACCACCUAUACAUUUUUUUUGGCCCGCACAUUUUUUAAUUUCAUAUUUAAAGUGCUCCACUGGUUAUAUAAAUAUAUUGACUAUAGGUACACCCGACGCUCACUGACUGCUCAAAUUAUCCUUAAAUAACUUUCUCCUCAUUUAAUUUUUCUAUCUUGUGUCAUCAGCCAUAUUCCAUGGACAUCUGCCUUGUAUUUCCACAGCCCUUCUAUUGUACUCAGGAUUUAUCUGCAUCGGCCACAGAAAAUACACAUUCUCCUAAUCCACAGGAAUUGCUAAGAGCAUCUUCCUUUCGACAGUGAUGCCUCCAGUCUAUAAAAUCAAAAUCAAAUAGCAAUGUCCAUGUAUAUUCCUGUAAAAUAUUCUAGCUUUUAGAACUUCGACUACCUGCUAAAAGAAAAAUGUGUUUUCCCUAGAAGCCCACCCCUUCUCUCCUAUGGGCCAGCGGCCUUCUCAAGCCCGAGUAGGGUAAAUCUAUGCUACGGCCCCCUCUCUUAUCUUAUCGCCACACCGAACUCUACCUUAUCUUCUUUGGAUUCAUCUUCUCACCCUCACCAGCCCUGUUCCCCCUCCCCUCUCCCCCAUCCGCCCCGGUCUACUUAGAGCUCCUUUGUGUUGGAUGCUUCUCCGAACACACCAGAUUCCCUGGUAACCACAUCCUCCGAUGAGUCUCCACAGCGCUCUGCUAUUUCUCAGGUGUUCGAUCUCUUUGAAUCUUAGACAAAGCUGGCCAUGAGAUUCUAGAAGCACAGCCCAACACUGCAAGUCUUAUCUUUUCAAGCCAUCCUCAUGGAGUUGGUUGAGCUACGCACAACAUCUUUGGCUGAGGCAAUGUUUGACAAGCUCGGGCUCCCAAAACCAGUCUACUAUGUGUGUUUGCUUGAGCAAGGUGGAUAUAGAUCACAGAUUGAAUUUCACCGCACAAAGGAGCGCUAUGAUGCUUCAGCGCCCCGCACUAAAUUGUUCAGCCAUAUAUGUGUAAGCGGAGAAGCAGCAAUGGACCAUGCGGCUGACCUAGCCAUUGGAUACAUGGAAAGCUAUGGAAGGAAGGUUCUUGUUGAUUAUAACUACCAUCGGCUGCAGCAAGAAAAACAAGCUUACGCAAGACUUUCAGACAGGUUGUCAGAAACAACAGAAGAAAUCAAUCAGCGCAAUCAAACCAUCAAACAGGUGACUAGAGAAGCAACCAAUUAUCUGGAAGAAGUGCAUGCUGCAUCAGACAAAAUCCACAGCCUUGCUGAUGCUGCCUUAGACCCUGCUGCCGGCCUCUCUCUUUCCACACUAAAACAAGCUAUUCUACAAAUUCAAAAUGCAAUUGUUGCUCUCCAGAGCACUACGGCCGCUGCACGUAUUUCACUAGAGGAAAAGGGCAUAUACUCAGUGGAUAAUGUGCCUGAACCAGUCUAUGAUGGUCUUUUUGAUGAAGAAACCAAUGAAGAUUAUCAUCAGGACAUGGAUGAUGACUGUGCUCACUACGUGCGAUCCCCAUAAGCAAUGUGUAAAGCCCACUAGGCUAAUCAGCAAGUGAAGCUUUCUACAUAUAGCUUCACAAUCAAACCUUGCUUCAUUCUGCGAAAAGCCAAUCUACUAUCAUACUUAUCCUGCUAGGGUGGCUAAAUAAAAUGUGAAGCUCAGUGUUUAUAGCUUCACCUAAGCAACUAUCUCACUCUCAACUACUCUCUCAUUGUGUACAAAUAUGAACUAUAUUGUACUAUGUAAGACCAAUGUAAUAUAUCUAUGUUGUACCUUCGUAUUCCCUUUCUAAGAUUCUCCGUUACACUAUGUUGACCAUUUACCUUUCUUUACAUACCCUGUUUUUCAAGUAC